This 864-nucleotide ribosomal RNA is filed under the name Triticum aestivum (bread wheat). RNAcentral describes it as "partial small subunit ribosomal RNA". The record is from RNAcentral. Lineage: Eukaryota; Viridiplantae; Streptophyta; Magnoliopsida; Poales; Poaceae.
UUGGCUAAACACAGCCCAAUGACUGUAGAUUGGGAACAACAAUGGAUGUCUUUUCCUUUGCAUGGAAAAACAGUAACCAUCCAAGGAGCUACACCUGUGGAAUUUGCUUACACUAUUAUAGAAUUAUCGGUAGUCACUGAUGAUGAUGCACAAAUUGUGUUGCCAGAAAUUCAGGAAUUACUGGAGGAGUACAAAGAUGUUUUUGCUAUUCCAACUGGGUUACCACCGGAGAGAGCCUGUGAUCACUCUAUUCCUCUUAUUCCAGGUGCUAGGCCAUUUUCACACAGGCCAUAUAGCCUAGCACCAGAAUUAAAGGAUGAGGUGGAAAAGCAAAUCCAGGAAAUGCUAGACUCUGGUGUGAUUAGAAGGAGUAACAGUCCUUUCUCCUCACCAAUUCUCUUGGUUAAGAAGAAGGACCAUACAUGGAGAUUAGUGGUGGAUUACAGACAUCUCAAUGCCCUUACAAUCAAAGGAAACUACCCUAUGCCUGUGAUAGAUGAACUACUGGAUGAAUUACAUGGUGCACAGUGGUUUACCAAGUUGGAUCUCAGGGCUGGUUACCAUCAGAUCAGGCUAGCUCCUGGUGAAGAGUAUAAAACAGCAUUUCAAACCCAUCAUGGGCAUUUUGAAUUUUUAGUGGUGGGUUUUGGUCUGACAGGAGCUCCAAACACUUUCCAAGGAGCCAUAAAUGUGUCCUUGUCUGAAGAACCUGAUAUGCUCAGAGAAUUUGUGAUAGCUUUCUUUGAUGACAUCCUUGUUUUCAGCAAGACCUUGCAACAGUAUAUAGAACAUGUCAGAAGAGUUUUGCAGGUUUUGAGAAGGGACAAAUGGUAUGUGAAACUCUCCAAGUGUGAAUUUGCUUCU